Molecule: ribosomal RNA, 2928 nt
Filed under: Escherichia coli O43 str. RM10042
Lineage: Bacteria; Pseudomonadati; Pseudomonadota; Gammaproteobacteria; Enterobacterales; Enterobacteriaceae
Description: bacterial LSU rRNA
Rfam family: Bacterial large subunit ribosomal RNA
Source: RNAcentral
GGGUUGUGAGGUUAAGCGACUAAGCGUACACGGUGGAUGCCCUGGCAGUCAGAGGCGAUGAAGGACGUGCUAAUCUGCGAUAAGCGUCGGUAAGGUGAUAUGAACCGUUAUAACCGGCGAUUUCCGAAUGGGGAAACCCAGUGUGUUUCGACACACUAUCAUUAACUGAAUCCAUAGGUUAAUGAGGCGAACCGGGGGAACUGAAACAUCUAAGUACCCCGAGGAAAAGAAAUCAACCGAGAUUCCCCCAGUAGCGGCGAGCGAACGGGGAGCAGCCCAGAGCCUGAAUCAGUGUGUGUGUUAGUGGAAGCGUCUGGAAAGGCGCGCGAUACAGGGUGACAGCCCCGUACACAAAAAUGCACAUGCUGUGAGCUCGAUGAGUAGGGCGGGACACGUGGUAUCCUGUCUGAAUAUGGGGGGACCAUCCUCCAAGGCUAAAUACUCCUGACUGACCGAUAGUGAACCAGUACCGUGAGGGAAAGGCGAAAAGAACCCCGGCGAGGGGAGUGAAAAAGAACCUGAAACCGUGUACGUACAAGCAGUGGGAGCACGCUUAGGCGUGUGACUGCGUACCUUUUGUAUAAUGGGUCAGCGACUUAUAUUCUGUAGCAAGGUUAACCGAAUAGGGGAGCCGAAGGGAAACCGAGUCUUAACUGGGCGUUAAGUUGCAGGGUAUAGACCCGAAACCCGGUGAUCUAGCCAUGGGCAGGUUGAAGGUUGGGUAACACUAACUGGAGGACCGAACCGACUAAUGUUGAAAAAUUAGCGGAUGACUUGUGGCUGGGGGUGAAAGGCCAAUCAAACCGGGAGAUAGCUGGUUCUCCCCGAAAGCUAUUUAGGUAGCGCCUCGUGAAUUCAUCUCCGGGGUAGAGCACUGUUUCGGCAAGGGGGUCAUCCCGACUUACCAACCCGAUGCAAACUGCGAAUACCGGAGAAUGUUAUCACGGGAGACACACGGCGGGUGCUAACGUCCGUCGUGAAGAGGGAAACAACCCAGACCGCCAGCUAAGGUCCCAAAGUCAUGGUUAAGUGGGAAACGAUGUGGGAAGGCCCAGACAGCCAGGAUGUUGGCUUAGAAGCAGCCAUCAUUUAAAGAAAGCGUAAUAGCUCACUGGUCGAGUCGGCCUGCGCGGAAGAUGUAACGGGGCUAAACCAUGCACCGAAGCUGCGGCAGCGACGCUUAUGCGUUGUUGGGUAGGGGAGCGUUCUGUAAGCCUGCGAAGGUGUGCUGUGAGGCAUGCUGGAGGUAUCAGAAGUGCGAAUGCUGACAUAAGUAACGAUAAAGCGGGUGAAAAGCCCGCUCGCCGGAAGACCAAGGGUUCCUGUCCAACGUUAAUCGGGGCAGGGUGAGUCGACCCCUAAGGCGAGGCCGAAAGGCGUAGUCGAUGGGAAACAGGUUAAUAUUCCUGUACUUGGUGUUACUGCGAAGGGGGACGGAGAAGGCUAUGUUGGCCGGGCGACGGUUGUCCCGGUUUAAGCGUGUAGGCUGGUUUUCCAGGCAAAUCCGGAAAAUCAAGGCUGAGGCGUGAUGACGAGGCACUACGGUGCUGAAGCAACAAAUGCCCUGCUUCCAGGAAAAGCCUCUAAGCAUCAGGUAACAUCAAAUCGUACCCCAAACCGACACAGGUGGUCAGGUAGAGAAUACCAAGGCGCUUGAGAGAACUCGGGUGAAGGAACUAGGCAAAAUGGUGCCGUAACUUCGGGAGAAGGCACGCUGAUAUGUAGGUGAAGUCCCUCGCGGAUGGAGCUGAAAUCAGUCGAAGAUACCAGCUGGCUGCAACUGUUUAUUAAAAACACAGCACUGUGCAAACACGAAAGUGGACGUAUACGGUGUGACGCCUGCCCGGUGCCGGAAGGUUAAUUGAUGGGGUCAGCGCAAGCGAAGCUCUUGAUCGAAGCCCCGGUAAACGGCGGCCGUAACUAUAACGGUCCUAAGGUAGCGAAAUUCCUUGUCGGGUAAGUUCCGACCUGCACGAAUGGCGUAAUGAUGGCCAGGCUGUCUCCACCCGAGACUCAGUGAAAUUGAACUCGCUGUGAAGAUGCAGUGUACCCGCGGCAAGACGGAAAGACCCCGUGAACCUUUACUAUAGCUUGACACUGAACAUUGAGCCUUGAUGUGUAGGAUAGGUGGGAGGCUUUGAAGUGUGGACGCCAGUCUGCAUGGAGCCGACCUUGAAAUACCACCCUUUAAUGUUUGAUGUUCUAACGUGGACCCGUGAUCCGGGUUGCGGACAGUGUCUGGUGGGUAGUUUGACUGGGGCGGUCUCCUCCUAAAGAGUAACGGAGGAGCACGAAGGUUGGCUAAUCCUGGUCGGACAUCAGGAGGUUAGUGCAAUGGCAUAAGCCAGCUUGACUGCGAGCGUGACGGCGCGAGCAGGUGCGAAAGCAGGUCAUAGUGAUCCGGUGGUUCUGAAUGGAAGGGCCAUCGCUCAACGGAUAAAAGGUACUCCGGGGAUAACAGGCUGAUACCGCCCAAGAGUUCAUAUCGACGGCGGUGUUUGGCACCUCGAUGUCGGCUCAUCACAUCCUGGGGCUGAAGUAGGUCCCAAGGGUAUGGCUGUUCGCCAUUUAAAGUGGUACGCGAGCUGGGUUUAGAACGUCGUGAGACAGUUCGGUCCCUAUCUGCCGUGGGCGCUGGAGAAUUGAGGGGGCUGCUCCUAGUACGAGAGGACCGGAGUGGACGCAUCACUGGUGUUCGGGUUGUCAUGCCAAUGGCACUGCCCGGUAGCUAAAUGCGGAAGAGAUAAGUGCUGAAAGCAUCUAAGCACGAAACUUGCCCCGAGAUGAGUUCUCCCUGACUCCUUGAGAGUCCUGAAGGAACGUUGAAGACGACGACGUUGAUAGGCCGGGUGUGUAAGCGCAGCGAUGCGUUGAGCUAACCGGUACUAAUGAACCGUGAGGCUUAACCUUACAACGCCGAAGGUGUUU